AGUGCGACGUAAAUUAACAACAACCGAGUAAAAAACUUUAUUUGAAUUAAAAUAAAUAAUUUAAUUCUUCGUUAAAACAUUUAGCAGUUUUUUUUAUAAUUCUAUUUUAAAACAGAAUAGGUAAAACCUACAAAGGUAAUUGGACCUUUUUACUCUCAUUUAAAAUAGUAUUGUUACUUGUGACUAAUGACAUAGAUAAUGAAAUGUUUAAAUAAUUAUUAUUAAUGGCUUGGUUAGGAAUAAAAUUUAUGGUAUUUAUUUAUGCAGCAAGACUAAACUACAAAAAUUAAAAGAAAUGAAGACAAAAUCAGACGAAAUUGGAAAAACCCAUUUCUUGAAAAAACCUGAAUCGGUUCUUUCAGGGAUUCGAUAUUAUUUUUUUUUUUAAAGUUUUUUAAAGUAAUAAAUGCAUUUAUCCAAUACUGCAUUAUUUAUAAGUAUAUUGUGUUAUGCCUGAAAUUUUCAUAAGAAUUUCCAUGUUCUUUAAUAUUAAAACUUUCAUUAUGUCAAGAGAAAAAUAAAACAAGAUAUCUUUAAUUUAUAAGUAAUUGAACUAUAUACCUACCCUGGAAAAAGGACAUUAUAUAAUUCUGAAGAACAGCAUUUUUAUGUAUAGAACUGAGGAGCAAACAGCCAGCAUAACUCACUCCUAUACAUAUGCUUCCAAUACAUUUAUAUUUAAAACUGGACACGACGGAUCAAAACUGGAAUUUCAACAAGCACUGACCUGGAAAUCGUAAUAAUUCUCAGGCCAGCAUGGUUGAAAAUUCAGUCGAUGAAGGAACCUUCUCUCUACAUUUAAGGAUGCAUCACAAUAACUGAUGAUCAUAACAACCUGGAAGAAAACUAAAAGCAUUGCAACUGGAUAAACAAAACAUGAAGCACAAAUUGUGAUACAACAGAACUUGUUCUUUCCAAUUAUUGAUUCAUGAACCCUUAAUAUUAUUCAAAAUUUUAAUAUUAAUUUAAAAAUAUCAUUUAUAGUAGUAAUGCUAUUCUUGCAUCAUCAAACAAAUAAUGAAGUAUGUAAGCAUAAAAACUUUAGCACAUGUAAUCCAAAUUUCAAAAACUAGCAAUAUAAUAAAAUCAGUGUAUCUGCUACAUUUUAAAUUA
Molecule: non-coding RNA, 1113 nt
Organism: Parasteatoda tepidariorum (common house spider)
Lineage: Eukaryota; Metazoa; Arthropoda; Arachnida; Araneae; Theridiidae
Source: RefSeq, a predicted model, not a curated record